CACAGGCUUCAUAAAGCCUAAAAAACUUCAGACUGAGAGGAAAAGACCCCAGUCAAGAUGGGUGCGGCUGUUGUCAUCAGCACACAGUGGUGAACCUGGAGCUGUGAAAUGGAGGAGGAGAAAGAGGAAAGGAGCCUGCAUCCCAGAUGACACGACCGAGCUGCUGACCCAGAUCGCAGGACACGAGAUAGUGCAUUUCCCUUCUGUUAAGUAAUUUCUGUAGUUACCGAAUCUGGAAGGAAAACUAAGAGGCCACCAGGCAGGCCGUGUGAUGGAAGGAGUGAGGGGAGAAGGAGCAUCCAUGCAGAGGGAACAGCAUGUGCAAAGAUGAGGGUCAGUGAGGACGUGGUUUGUACAGUUUCAAGGCACAGCAACUGUCGGUUGUGAGAGAUGCUUCUGCUACCACUUCUAUUGCUCACGGCAAGGCAAAAUGUCAGUCUAGAUUCAAG
Molecule: long non-coding RNA, 449 nt
Organism: Homo sapiens (human)
Lineage: Eukaryota; Metazoa; Chordata; Mammalia; Primates; Hominidae
Exons: 4
Source: RefSeq, a predicted model, not a curated record